CCCCCGGAGCGGGGCGGGGGGGAACGGACGGACAGAGCAGUACAGGAGGUUGCUGGUUCCCACCCCCCUCAAGGAGCCCAGCCCCCACGGAGGGGGCUCUUGUGUGUCCCCCCCAAUAUUGAUGGGGCAGCCGUGACUCGGCUCUGCCGGAGCUGCCACUGCGCAGGGGCAGGGCUCUGCCCCCCCCCCCCCGGCUUCAGAGCAGCGCUUACGGGAAGGGGUCAAUGCUCUGCCCAGCCACUGCGGGGGAGGGGGGGAAGAGGAGGGGAGGGGGAAGUCUCCCCCUGCCCAAGCAUCCUCCGAAGGCUCUGCAGAGUCCUGCACCCAGACCAGCACCAUGCCAGGAGCAGCAUCAGGCCACGGCCAGCGCCGUUGAUCCAACCCUGCCCACACACCCAGGGCAGGGCUUAGGUCACCGUGAAGCUGAACGUGGCGAGACAAGAGUGGAAAGAGCAAACUUUAAUGAGCAGCCCCCAGAGUGGAACCCAAAGGACGAGGCACUAAAACUCCUCCCCUUCCUCCUCCCCCUCCACGCUGUCGGCCCCCACCUCCUCGUAAUCCUUCUCCAGGGCAGCCAUAUCCUCCCGCGCCUCCGAGAACUCCCCUUCCUCCAUGCCCUCCCCCACGUACCAGUGCACGAAUGCCCGCUUGGCAUACAUCAGGUCAAACUUGUGGUCCAGGCGGGCCCAAGCCUCGGCGAUGGCCGUGGUGUUGCUCAGCAUGCAGACGGCUCGCUGCACCUUGGCCAGGUCCCCGCCGGGCAC
This is a long non-coding RNA of Pogoniulus pusillus (Red-fronted tinkerbird), 764 nucleotides long. RefSeq lists it as uncharacterized. NCBI's taxonomy places the organism in Eukaryota, Metazoa, Chordata, Aves, Piciformes, Lybiidae. The record is from RefSeq and is a predicted model, not a curated record. The transcript has 2 exons.